Molecule: ribosomal RNA, 600 nt
Filed under: Micromonospora sp. WYP-63
Lineage: Bacteria; Bacillati; Actinomycetota; Actinomycetes; Micromonosporales; Micromonosporaceae
Description: bacterial SSU rRNA
Rfam family: Bacterial small subunit ribosomal RNA
Source: RNAcentral
GACGACGGGUAGCCGGCCUGAGAGGGCGACCGGCCACACUGGGACUGAGACACGGCCCAGACUCCUACGGGAGGCAGCAGUGGGGAAUAUUGCGCAAUGGGCGGAAGCCUGACGCAGCGACGCCGCGUGGGGGAUGAAGGCCUUCGGGUUGUAAACCUCUUUCACCACCGACGAAGCGAAAGUGACGGUAGGUGGGGAAGAAGCGCCGGCUAACUACGUGCCAGCAGCCGCGGUAAUACGUAGGGCGCAAGCGUUGUCCGGAAUUAUUGGGCGUAAAGAGCUCGUAGGCGGUCCGUCACGUCUGCCGUGAAAACCCGAGGCUUAACCUCGGGCCUGCGGUGGAUACGGGCGAACUAGAGGUAGGUAGGGGAGAACGGAAUUCCCGGUGUAGCGGUGAAAUGCGCAGAUAUCGGGAGGAACACCGGUGGCGAAGGCGGUUCUCUGGGCCUUACCUGACGCUGAGGAGCGAAAGCGUGGGGAGCGAACAGGAUUAGAUACCCUGGUAGUCCACGCCGUAAACGUUGGGCGCUAGGUGUGGGGUCUUUCCACGGACUCCGUGCCGGAGCUAACGCAUUAAGCGCCCCGCCUGGGGGAGUACGG